GAUGAACGCUGGCGGCGUGCCUAAUACAUGCAAGUCGAGCGAACGGACGCGAAGCUUGCUUUUCUGAUGUUAGCGGCGGACGGGUGAGUAACACGUGGAUAACCUACCUAUAAGACUGGGAUAACUUCGGGAAACCGGCGCUAAUACCGGAUAAUAUUUUGAACCGCAUGGUUCAAAAGUGAAAGACGGUCUUGCUGUCACUUAUAGAUGGAUCCGCGCUGCAUUAGCUAGUUGGUAAGGUAACGGCUUACCAAGGCAACGAUGCAUAGCCGACCUGUGAGGGGGAUCGGCCACACUGGAACUUAGACACGGUCCAUACGCCUACGGGAGGCAGCAGUAGGGAAUCUUCCGCAAUGGGCGGAAGCCUGACGGAGCGACGCCGCGUGAGUGAUGAAGGUCUUCGGAGCGUAAAACUCUGCUAUUAGGGAAGAACAUAUGUGUAAGUAACUGUGCACAUCUUGACGGUACCUAAUCAGAAAGCCACGGCUAACUACGUG
Molecule: ribosomal RNA, 497 nt
Filed under: uncultured bacterium
Lineage: Bacteria
Description: partial 16S ribosomal RNA
Rfam family: Bacterial small subunit ribosomal RNA
Source: RNAcentral